RNAcentral lists this long non-coding RNA (220 nucleotides) under Trifolium pratense (red clover). RNAcentral's name for it is "long non-coding RNA (TPRA_LNC002342)". The record is from RNAcentral. Lineage: Eukaryota; Viridiplantae; Streptophyta; Magnoliopsida; Fabales; Fabaceae.
AUAAAGAUUCAUAAUACUCAAAUUCCCAAAACCCAUAUAAACCCACCAAAAUAGAUAUUUGGAAAGCUUGAGGUUGAGAGUAGAAUCGCUCUACUCUCCUUUCCGUUAAUAAUCUCUCAAGAAUCGACUCUCCCCUCAUACCUUGAUUGGAGAAAAAUCAUACUUUGCUUGAGUUCUCCUUCUCUUACCCUCUACUUCCUUCUCUUUCUUUCUUUCUUUC